GAUGAACGCUGGCGGCGUGCCUAAUACAUGCAAGUCGAACGCAUAGCGAAAGGUGCUUGCACCUUUCACGUGAGUGGCGAACGGGUGAGUAACACGUGGACAACCUGCCUCAAGGCUGGGGAUAACAUUUGGAAACAGAUGCUAAUACCGAAUAAAACUUAGUGUCGCAUGACACAAAGUUAAAAGGCGCUUCGGCGUCACCUAGAGAUGGAUCCGCGGUGCAUUAGUUAGUUGGUGGGGUAAAGGCCUACCAAGACAAUGAUGCAUAGCCGAGUUGAGAGACUGAUCGGCCACAUUGGGACUGAGACGCGGCCCAAACUCCUACGGGAGGCUGCAGUAGGGAAUCUUCCACAAUGGGCGAAAGCCUGAUGGAGCAACGCCGCGUGUGUGAUGAAGGCUUUCGGGUCGUAAAGCACUGUUGUAUGGGAAGAACAGCCAGAAUAGGAAAUGAUUUUAGUUUGACGGUACCAUACCAGAAAGGGACGGCUAAAUACGUG
Molecule: ribosomal RNA, 497 nt
Filed under: uncultured bacterium
Lineage: Bacteria
Description: partial 16S ribosomal RNA
Rfam family: Bacterial small subunit ribosomal RNA
Source: RNAcentral